RNAcentral lists this ribosomal RNA (469 nucleotides) under uncultured Gram-positive bacterium. RNAcentral describes it as "bacterial SSU rRNA". It matches the Rfam family "Bacterial small subunit ribosomal RNA", at positions 976 to 1430 of the family's 1533-position model. The record is from RNAcentral.
GGGUUGUCGUGUAGUAGUAUUGACUACCAUUGAACGUCCCUUGUGGAUAGGAAGUUCCGUUCGGGGACAAAAAUGACAGCUGGUGCAUGGUUGUCGUCAGCUCGGUUCGUGAGAGGUGGGUUAAGUCCCGCAACGAGCGCAACCUUUGAUCUUAGUUGCCAGCAUUUAGUUGGGCACUCUAAGGUGACUGCCGGUGACAAACCGGAGGAAGGUGGGGAGGGGGGCAGGUCAUCAUUCCCCUUAUGACCUGGGCUACACACGUGCUACAAUGGAUGGUACAAAGAGUCGCAAACCCGCGAGGGCUAGCUAAUCUCAUAAAGCCAUUCUCAGUUCGGAUUGUAGGCUGCAACUCGCCUACAUGAAGCCGGAAUCGCUAGUAAUCGCGGAUCAGCAUGCCGCGGUGAAUACGUUCCCGGGCCUUGUACACACCGCCCGUCACACCACGAGAGUUUGUAACACCCGAAGUCGG